RNAcentral lists this ribosomal RNA (261 nucleotides) under uncultured prokaryote. RNAcentral's name for it is "partial 16S ribosomal RNA". It matches the Rfam family "Bacterial small subunit ribosomal RNA", at positions 524 to 784 of the family's 1533-position model. The record is from RNAcentral.
UACGGAGGAUCCGAGCGUUAUCCGGAUUUAUUGGGUUUAAAGGGUGCGCAGGCGGGAUGUUAAGUCGGCGGUGAAAUUUUGCAGCUCAACUGUAAAAGUGCCUUCUAUACUGGCUUUCUUGAGUGUGGAUGAAGUAGGCGGAAUUUGUGGUGUAGCGGUGAAAUGCUUAGAUAUCACGAGGAACUCCGAUUGCGCAGGCAGCUUACUAAACCACUACUGACGCUCAUGCACGAAGGCGUGGGGAUCAAACAGGAUUAGAUA